Non-coding RNA from Artibeus jamaicensis (Jamaican fruit-eating bat), 391 nucleotides. RefSeq annotates it as small Cajal body-specific RNA 2. The transcript has a single exon. The record is from RefSeq and is a predicted model, not a curated record. Lineage: Eukaryota; Metazoa; Chordata; Mammalia; Chiroptera; Phyllostomidae.
AUUAAGUGGCAGGAGGGCGAGGGUAUUGUAUGCUGUGCCAUGGUGUCAUGUGGAUGGUGCAUGCAGGCUGAAUGUGAGUGGAUGCAUAAAUGAGCAUAAGUGGGGUAUGUAAGGUGAGUGUGUCUCCCCCUGCAUCCUCACCCCCUUCUCCAGCCUACACAUUGAUCUUAUUUGAUGGGGUUGUGUCCCCAGCCCCACUGGACCAGCCCGAGAUGAAAAGCUCUCCCUUCCUGUGAAGUACCAUCCUUGGGGUGCAAGGCCCUUUGGUAACAGCAACACCAGGGUCUCAGAGGCAUUCCCACCAGGCCAGUGCUUAGAAGUGAUGAAUUGAUCAGCUAGAUGAGCCUGGGCUUAUCCUGGGCCGCUGAUUCUCCAGUUGAUUGUGGUCUGA